Molecule: ribosomal RNA, 266 nt
Filed under: uncultured bacterium
Lineage: Bacteria
Description: partial 16S ribosomal RNA
Rfam family: Bacterial small subunit ribosomal RNA
Source: RNAcentral
UGCCGGCGACCGGCGACGGGUGCGUAACGCGUAUGUAACCUACCUUUGACAAGGGGAUAACAUCGAGAAAUUGGUACUAAUACCCCAUAACAUCACCGGAGGCAUCUUCGGUGGUUGAAAACUCAGGUGGUCAGAGAUGGACAUGCGUUGUAUUAGCUAGUUGGUGAGGUAACGGCUCACCAAGGCGACGAUACAUAGGGGGACUGAGAGGUCAACCCCCCACAUUGGUACUGAGACACGGACCAAACUCCUACGGGAGGCAGCAG